AACGAACGCUGGCGGCAUGCCUAACACACGCAAGUCGAACGAUGCCUUCGGGCAUAGUGGCGCACGGGUGCGUAACGCGUGGGAAUCUGCCUUUCGGUUCGGAAUAACUCAGGGAAACUUGAGCUAAUACCGGAUAACGUCGCACGACCAAAGAUUUAUCACCGAAAGAUGAGCCCGCGUAGGAUUAGCUAGUUGGUGAGGUAAAGGCUCACCAAGGCGACGAUCCUUAGCUGGUCUGAGAGGAUGAUCAGCCACACUGGGACUGAGACACGGCCCAGACUCCUACGGGAGGCAGCAGUGGGGAAUAUUGGACAAUGGGCGAAAGCCUGAUCCAGCAAUGCCGCGUGAGUGAUGAAGGCCUUAGGGUUGUAAAGCUCUUUUACCCGGGAAGAUAAUGACGGUACCGGGAGAAUAAGCCCCGGCUAACUCCGUG
RNAcentral lists this ribosomal RNA (433 nucleotides) under uncultured bacterium. RNAcentral's name for it is "partial 16S ribosomal RNA". It matches the Rfam family "Bacterial small subunit ribosomal RNA", at positions 29 to 507 of the family's 1533-position model. The record is from RNAcentral.